UACGGGGGGGGCAAGCGUUGUUCGGAAUUACUGGGCGUAAAGGGCUCGUAGGUGGCCAACUAAGUCAGACGUGAAAUCCCUCGGCUUAACCGGGGAACUGCGUCUGAUACUGGAUGGCUUGAGUUCGGGAGAGGGAUGCGGAAUUCCUGGUGUAGCGGUGAAAUGCGCAGAUAUCAGGAGGAACACCGAUUGCGAAGGCAGCUCGCUGGGACGUAACUGACGCUGAGACGCGAAAGCGUGGGGAGCAAACAGG
RNAcentral lists this ribosomal RNA (253 nucleotides) under uncultured bacterium. RNAcentral's name for it is "partial 16S ribosomal RNA". It matches the Rfam family "Bacterial small subunit ribosomal RNA", at positions 524 to 776 of the family's 1533-position model. The record is from RNAcentral.